AACCGCGUUUCCGGCGAGACCUGGGUGCUGUGUCCCGCGGCUUGCCCUCCAUUGUGCACCCUGCGGGCCUUCGGGAGAUGCAGGCCUGGGUCGUCUCCUUUCUGGACUGAGAAGAGAAGAAUGGAGAAGCCCCUCUUCCCAUUAGUGCCUUUGCAUUGGUUUGGCUUUGGCUACACAGCGCUGGUUGUUUCUGGUGGGAUCGUUGGCUAUGUAAAAACAGGUAGGGUUUUGUUGUUACUUAGCCUCUUAACAUCUUCACGUUGUUCCAGUGAAAUGUGAGUGUCCGUGUCCCUGAGAAGCAAUCUCGUUUGACUCAGCUUUGCUGUAGGUCCCCAAGCUGGAGUGCAGGCUUCCUUGUCUGUCUUGCAGCUCCUGCCCUUGCCUUUUGGUUGUCUGGUGAAGCUGAGCCAGGCCUCUUGUGGAAUUACUUAAUUUUGCCUCUUUAUCUAAAGGUAGGCAGGGGUGGUUGUAGUUUGUUAUUAUCAUUGACUACCAUUCAUCAGCCAUGACCCCCAAGUGCCAUCUCUGGGCUUAAGUAGGAGGCAACCUCUGGCCUAC
This 558-nucleotide small RNA is filed under the name Pongo abelii (Sumatran orangutan). RNAcentral describes it as "processed transcript". Lineage: Eukaryota; Metazoa; Chordata; Mammalia; Primates; Hominidae. The record is from RNAcentral.